CGGUCCCUGGCCCCCCUAUCAUACCAUCUACGCUGUCUUUGUUGGGCCGCUUGGAGGUUGGUACGUACAGUCUGGGUCAGCGCCUCCAAACGGUCCCGAAAUUCCAGCACAUAUGGUACGAUAGGGGUACCAUUAGUGGUUACUCCCCCCUCCCAGUGUUCUCUGAUUAAAUCUAGGGGGCCCCUCACUCUCCUUCCAAAUAAUAAUUCAAAGGGAGAGAACCCAGUGGAUUCUUGGGGCACUUCUCUAUAGGCGAACAGUAAGUGGGGUAGGAAUCGUUCCCAGUCUUUU
This is a non-coding RNA of Pelobates cultripes (western spadefoot toad), 291 nucleotides long. Lineage: Eukaryota; Metazoa; Chordata; Amphibia; Anura; Pelobatidae. The record is from the annotation of a GenBank genome assembly.